RNAcentral lists this ribosomal RNA (944 nucleotides) under uncultured archaeon. RNAcentral's name for it is "bacterial SSU rRNA". It matches the Rfam family "Archaeal small subunit ribosomal RNA", at positions 1 to 922 of the family's 1478-position model. The record is from RNAcentral.
UCCGGUUGAUCCUGCCGGACCCCACUGCUAUCGGGGUGGGACUAAGACAUGCUAGUCGUGCGCCUCCAAGCCACGGUGGAGGCGCGGCGCACAGCUCAGUAACACGUGGCUAACCUACCCUUGGGACAGGGACAACCCCGGGAAACUGGGGCUAAUCCCCGAUAGGUGAGGACUCCUGGAAUGGGUCCUCGCUGAAAGGGCGUCUAGACCAUGCUUCUAGACGCUGCCCAAGGAUGGGGCCGCGGCCGAUCAGGUUGUUGGUGAGGUAACGGCUCACCAAGCCUAAGACCGGUACGGGCCGUGAGAGCGGGAGCCCGGAGAUGGACACUGAGACAAGGGUCCAGGCCCUACGGGGCGCAGCAGUCGCGAAACCUCCGCAAUACGCGAAAGCGUGACGGGGCCACCCCGAGUGCCGUCCGCUGAGGACGGCUUUUCCCCAGUGUAGACAGCUGGGGGAAUAAGGGGAGGGCAAGUCGGGUGUCAGCCGCCGCGGUAAUACCCGCUCCCCGAGUGGUGGGGACGCUUAUUGGGCCUAAAGCAUCCGUAGCCGGCUGGACAAGUCCCCUGUUAAAUCCAGCGAUUUAAUCGCUGGACUGCGGGGGAUACUGUCCAGCUAGGGGGCGGGAGAGGCCGGCGGUAUUCCCGGGGUAGGGGUGAAAUCUUAUAAUCCCGGGAGGACCACCAGUGGCGAAGGCUGCCGGCUGGAACGCGCCCGACGGUGAGGGAUGAAAGCUGGGGGAGCGGACCGGAUUAGAUACCCGGGUAGUCCCAGCUGUAAACGAUGCGGGCUAGGUGUUGGCACGGCUACAAGCCGUGUCAGUGCCACAGGGAAGCCGUUAAGCCCGCCGCCUGGGGAGUACGGCCGCAAGGCUGAAACUUAAAGGAAUUGGCGGGGGAGCACCACAAGGGGUGAAGCUUGCGGUUUAAUUGGAGUCAACGCCGGA